GUUUUAUUCUGUUAGGUGAGGCUACUUUAUGAAUAUAUGCUGCUACCCACUUUUGUCUAAAGACAAAAAAUGGGUGAACAACUUUUGUCGAAUUAAGGCUUAAGUUAAUGUAGCUGACUUAUAUUUUAAGUCAAAGUUGUAAAGUGCUAAAGCUCAACGUGGUGAAUAAAUU
RNAcentral lists this small RNA (172 nucleotides) under Entomoplasmatales bacterium. RNAcentral's name for it is "Magnesium sequence". It matches the Rfam family "M-box riboswitch aptamer (ykoK leader)". Rfam says of the family: M-box riboswitch, also know as ykoK leader is described as a metaloregulatory RNA that sense divalent metals and function as a genetic control element of genes related to divalent metal transport in bacteria. The record is from RNAcentral. Lineage: Bacteria; Bacillati; Mycoplasmatota; Mollicutes; Entomoplasmatales.